GAUUGAUGGGGUCAUUUGAGUUUAUGUUAAGGGCCCAUAGCUCAGGCGGUUAGAGUGCACCCCUGAUAAGGGUGAGGUCGGUAGUUCGAAUCUACCUGGGCCCACCAUUCAAUCAGGCAAGGGGCCGUAGCUCAGCUGGGAGAGCGCCUGCUUUGCAAGCAGGAUGUCAGCGGUUCGAUCCCGCUCGGCUCCACCAAUUGCGAAUUUAUAGUUUUUUUGUUCUAGGGAUUUUUUUUAGAGCAAUAGUUUUUUGAAAAUUGAAUAGAAGGUAGAUUUUUUUGUAUUUUUUAUAUUGGCAUUGUAUGCGAUAUGGGAGGUACC
RNAcentral lists this transfer RNA (321 nucleotides) under Candidatus Liberibacter solanacearum. RNAcentral's name for it is "partial 16S-23S ribosomal RNA intergenic spacer". The stretch from base 31 to 104 matches the Rfam family "tRNA". Lineage: Bacteria; Pseudomonadati; Pseudomonadota; Alphaproteobacteria; Hyphomicrobiales; Rhizobiaceae. The record is from RNAcentral.